GACGAACGCCGGCGGCGUGCCUAAUACAUGCAAGUCGAACGCUUCCUACCGGUGCUUGCACCGGGAAAGAAGAGUGGCGGACGGGUGAGUAACACGUGGGUAACCUACCUACAAGCGGGGGAUAACAUUCGGAAACGGAUGCUAAUACCGCAUAGAUCUUUUUGUCUCCUGGCAGAAAGAAGAAAGACGGUUUCGGCUGUCACUUGUAGAUGGACCCGCGGCGCAUUAGUUAGUUGGUGAUGUAAUGGCUCACCAAGACGAUGAUGCGUAGCCGACCUGAGAGGGUGAUCGGCCACACUGGGACUGAGACACGGCCCAGACUCCUACGGGAGGCAGCAGUAGGGAAUCUUCCGCAAUGGACGAAAGUCUGAUGGAGCAACGCCGCGUGAGUGAAGAAGGUUUUCGGAUCGUAAAACUCUGUUGUUAGAGAAGAACAAGGAUGAGAGUAACUGCUCGUCCCUUGACGGUAUCUAACCAGAAAGCCAUGGCUAACUACGUGCCAGCAGCCGCAGUAA
This 515-nucleotide ribosomal RNA is filed under the name uncultured bacterium. RNAcentral describes it as "partial 16S ribosomal RNA". It matches the Rfam family "Bacterial small subunit ribosomal RNA", at positions 28 to 523 of the family's 1533-position model. The record is from RNAcentral.